ACUCAAAUGAAUAGACGGGGACCCGCACAAGCAGUGGAGUAUGUUGUUUAAUUCGAUGCUACGCGAGAAACCUUACCGACCCUUGACAUGUCACACGCGAUUACCAGAGAUGGUUUUCUUCAAUUCGGUUGGUGUGAACACAGGUGCUGCAUGGCUGUCGUCAGCUCGUGUCGUGAGAUGUUAGGUUAAGUCCUGCAACGAGCGCAACCCACACUCUUUGUUGCCAGCGGGUAAUGCCGGGAACUCUAAGAGGACUGCCCGUGUUAAACGGGAGGAAGGUGUGGAUGAUGUCAAGUCAUCAUGGUCCUUACGGGUCGGGCUACAAACGUACUACAAUGGCGAUAACAGAGCGCAGCAAAGCCGCAAGGCCGAGCCAAUCGUGAAAAAUCGCCCCAGUUCAGAUUGUCCUCUGCAACUCGAGGGCAUGAAGUCGGAAUUGCUAGUAAUCGCGGAUCAGAAUGCCGCGGUGAAUACGUUCCCGGGUCUUGUACACACCGCCCGU
Molecule: ribosomal RNA, 502 nt
Filed under: uncultured bacterium
Lineage: Bacteria
Description: bacterial SSU rRNA
Rfam family: Bacterial small subunit ribosomal RNA
Source: RNAcentral